GUGAGGAGCAAUAAACUGAAUUUGACAUAAAAGUAUAUGGGAUAAGAGUCACGGACUGUAACUUUAAGGGAGAUAGAGCAAUAAUCAAAGAAUCCAUUUCUUACAGAUUGUGAUGGUAUUACACAGUCGCAAUGAAAACAUACAAGGCAUGUUUUAAUGCAAUAAAUUUCGGCAAUCGAUUGAGUCUACAAAGCAACAAGACACAGAGAAAAUAUUGACAGAGGAGAGAACUAAGGAGGGCUACACCACAAAUCCGCAGAGCGUAAAUAAACCUGAGCGUACUAAACAGAGUCCCCUGGAAGUUAAUGGCAGCUUUGUGUGGCCGAGCAGUUUUAUGAUCUUAAUUCUCUCGCAUACUUUGCCAACAUAAAUAUGGCGCUUCUCGGCGGGUAGCUCCGCCGAGUGCAGUUGUGGGGCUGGGCUGGAACUGCAACAAGUUCAAAUACACAACUUUUACUGCGCCUCAGGAGGGGUUUUCUCAGCGUUGCUUUUGCUCUCUACCCUUCGGUUUGGGGAGCGGUCAACAAGAUAGUCUUCGCGUCAGCCCAGGCUGAUUUAUGACUAGGGACAAGCCCAGCACAGAAAAAGAGGAAAUUCUUAAAAGAGAAAAAGACGUCUCCCUACGAACCACUUCCCACCGCUUAAGCUCUACAGGCCUCUGAGAAACAACGUGAAGAACCGGAGUCAACUUCUGAUAAUGGAAGCACAGUUGUGGAAGUACUGCUGUCAUUGAUGACAAACUGCAUCUCAAUCCCACUGGUAGCUGAUUGGAUUUCCUGGAGAGUCAGACCGAGAGCGGCACAUGCAGAGCAUAUAAACAAUCUUAGACCAGAUCGAAGGGAGAUUAAGUGUGAGGAAACACUAUUUUUUUGUGAACACAUUUAUCUUAGUGUGGUGAAAACACAUGAAAAGCAUAAGAAAAACCAUAGCCCACAUUUCAGAGCAAAAUAUAUUGUAAAUUGUUUUUUUUGUGCUGUAGUGAAACUUGUCCUGACCCUGUAAAAAGGUAAACUUCUUCAGAUGUCUACAGUUGUAAACAAAGUUCACUUAAAUAGGCUAGUCAUAAACUACAACAUGGUGUUGAAAGUAAUCCAUUAUUUUGUUAAAUCAUUUUUAGAUGUAUCUGAGAAGAAAGAAACGGUAUUAAACAUUGAUGACCUAUGGUUUAACUGUUUUGAUGUCAUUUUCCCACAAGAAUGUGAUAUGAUCUGCAUAAAUCAAAAGGACCAUCACUCCUGUCCUCUGCAACAGAUUGCCCUAAUCGACUCAAACAUCAUGUCUCACAUUGUACCUUUACAGAGUCUGGACUUUUGAUGGUCCAAAUCAAAUUUGAUUUUGACACAGUAAUCCAAAUUGCAUGUCAAUGGACUUAUAUAAUUGUAUAAAUAUAUAAAAAUGCAGAUAGUGUAACCUGGGAGGCGUACAUAAUCUCAUUCCCACAGCCCCCACACCAGGGUUCCAGUGUGUUGGCGGAGGCCUAGUCUCCAUCUUUUAUUUGAUUUAGAGAACUCUCUCCUCUCCUCUCCUCUCCUCUCCUCUUCUCUCCUCUCCUCUCAUGUCAUGUUCUCUCACACUCUUCCCUUGGUUAUUAAAUGGCCCAGUAUGGGAUGUCUGUGUUAUUGCACUUCCAACAUUGACUGAAAACACCGCUUGGCAUUUAAGACAACAUGAUUGUUGUGAUUGUUUUAUGAAAAUAUAUUGAAGUUAAUAAUGUCUCUGUCAUUUGCGAGAACAGUAUCUGUGGCAAGUCGAUGAUGUCAAAUGUAUAUAAUGCAGAUACUGUAAAUAUAUAUUCUUCAUGGUAAAAAUAAUGACAUUGGAGAUGAUGUUACGAACACACAGGUAUUAUAAACAUCCUUUACUAUGAAGUCAUGCUGAAUGGGACAAUACUUCUACUCACUUGAAACAACCACAAGUUAGUCAUUAAACAUUGCAAGUGUAUCCUAUAAAUCUCUGUUUGGACAACUGACACAACGAUACUAAUGAGAUCUAUAGCCCCCUGAACGUAGCCAUCUAGCAUGUUUGGUUUAGCGCACAGAUUGAGCCAAUGAAUGAUAUCAUUUUCAUAUUAUUUAUGGCUUGGAGACUUCAUAACACAAAGGUAUGCCAUUUUGGCUCUGUGACUGAGGCGCCAUGUGCUGGCAUCUGGGUUGCCGUAAAUAGACCUGCUGAUAAUCUUGACUUUUAUUCUAAUAUUGUUGACAUUGCCUUUACUCCCUGACACUGACAUCAUUAUUUGACACGAUUCCUUUUAAAUGAUUAGAUUUUUGUUUUUCAAAAGAACAUAAAUGUCAUAUUAAUGUAAAAUCACAACAUCUCUCUGGCUGUUUAUACAAGGAAGCCAUUGAUGUGCAUUAGCUACCAACCACCAUUAACAGUCCAGGGGAAUACGCACUCAGAACCCCUCAGUAUGUUUAGUGGAGCAGUCGGUGUAGCGAGGCACAGCUAUAGGAAUUACAUUUCAUAACUUUGGAACAAAACAACAAAAAUGUAGCAAAGAAAUAUAACACCCUGCUAUAUGUAACACCUUGCUGUAGGACAAGCACAUCUUCUGUUUGACUUGCCUUAGGACCUGAUGGAAAAAAAAAUAGUUUGUGGAAGGAGUAAAGGAAGCUUUAGUUUCCAUUUCAAAUGUGAAAACAGCCUACACUCACUAGAAUGAAACAUCCCAGAUGCAUCUUACAACAAUGAUAUUUCAGUCUAAUUGUAUGGUUAUCAUUAAAGGGUAUUGCCAACAAUUUUACAAAAUUAUACUUAUACAAUUGUACAAUUACACUGCCUAAAAAACAUUUUAGUGGACAGCAUGCAUGUUAAUCCUGGCAUCAAGUAUAAAAAAACGGCAGCAGCAGAAGCCUCAUGUUCAGGUAUGUACAAGCCCUUGGAAGCCAUUUUACAUUCUGUUAUUGUCUAAAAUGUUGUCCCAUAAGUUAGCCUAUGAUUCACUGACUGUUUUUAUGAUAACAUUUUGUUAUCUUCCAUUUAUCCUUCAUGACUAAAGACUACCUCUUCCCAAGGUAUACAGAAACUUAACAGGAGGUUAUUUGCACAAAAUUAGAAAUAAAUCACAAUAAAACACAGGACACAGCAGUAUUGCACAACAACCCAUAAGUAAUAAUUUAACAUAUUUGUGAACAUUUUAUACCAUUAAAGUAUGUGAAAUUAUUAAUAGAGGCCUUCCACCAUUGCAAUUGUCAACAAUAGCUUUCAGAAUUCCAACUCAGAAAUGAUGCCGUUAUUGUAAACCUGCCUUUCCUUCAAACAAUGGAACGCAUAACAACCAGGAGAACCCAAAACAUCAAGAGUUCAUCAUUGAAAUGCAUGAUAGCCGUCGAUGUAAAAAACAAAACAAAAACAAAUAGCUGUUGCCUUGAUCCAUGUGUUCACUGGUCUCCUUACCUGCCAUUGCAGCAAGGGUGAGAGCCCCCCCCCACCCCCACCCUCCAGUUCUGCAAUGGCACACAAGCGUUUUUUUUAAUUUAUUUAUUUAUUUAUACAUUGUUGCCAGAGACAGCUGCAGGAUUGUGUUGGCUGUGAUGUGCGCUGGAACUUAUCAACAGGACUGUCUUUGAUGAAUGGAGGUUGCACUUAGCAUUAUAUCAACAUAUGAUUGAGUGGGGAUGUGUUGGUUGUGGAGUUCUGGCCGAUAAAAAAAAAUGUUGAACGGUUCCAAUGAGAGUUCUGAGCACAGUCACAUGACCCCCGAUGUCCUUCAGAGAUUAUGAAAGGAAGCUUGGCUUUCUAGACAGCAAGUUGGACAGGUUCCUAGACUGAAUUCCUGGCAUUGGCCUUGGUCAGCCCAGAGCAUGUUCCCAAGUUACAAAAAAAAGCAAAGAAAUAAAUAAUACCUUUCAAAUAUACAUGUGGUUGCCUGGGUUGUGGAUCCUCCAGGCUGUUCUUCCUGCCGUAUCUGAAUGUAGUGCUGUCUGCAAAUCAACAUUGUAAUGGACCCCAAUCAAAGAGCAAGGGCUCCUGUUGUCAUACUCAGACUCCAGAUUUCAUUUUCAUUUCACAGCAGAUGUUGAUUGAAAUUCGUACUCAGUGGCCUGGAAAUGUUUUGGAAGAAACUUGAUUGUAGAUGUGUCUCUAUGGGGGCUGUUUUCUUGAACAUUAUUUGUCUUAAAGAAAGAAAUGCCCAAUGCACAGUGAACAUCACAAACACUUGCAGGUUUAGUGUAAGCUCAGAGUUGAGCCUGCUACUGUUUUAUGUCAGGUGUGCAAAUGAACAGCAAAUGAACAACCUAGACACUGUUUAAAAGUAUUACAUUUUGCAUGGAAUAUUCAGUGUCAAAUGGGGCCUCUGUGAGACCGAAAUAUGGUCGACUUUGCCAGUGCAGGUGUUAAAAACAAUUAGUAAUUAAUUGGAGCAAAGAAAAGAAACAUAAUAAAUGGCAACCACCUGGACCAAGCAAAUGCAUUUGGGCUGUUAAUUAUCAAUCAUGCUAGGGCGUGUUGAAAUUUCAGACACUGUUCUCACCCAAAUAGAGAAAUAUUCAGGAAAUGAACCAUACCUGGUGUGUUUUUCAUGUACUGAGGCAAAACAACACACUCUGUGUACCCUGCGCAGGAUGAUUGUGGAACACAAGGGAUGCUGGAAUCAAUAUGCAGUAUUAAACAAAAAACGACUUCAAGGUUUUGGCAAUAGAAAGGUAGGAACAUCUAGAAGAUGACAGAAGACAUGGCUUCUACUGAUAUUCCUUGCUGGUAAUUUGUUGUGGCAUAUAGAGCUGAAUGACAACACUCAAGAUGGCAAAUAUCCUGCAGCUGGCUUGCAGAAAUAACAGUUUCUCCUUUCUUUCUCUAUCAGCAUAAUGACAAUGUAAAUGGCCAUUCUGCUGAAACAGUAGAAUGAGGACCGGAGGGGGGUUUCAACAGAGUAUAUGGAUUCUUUGAAAAUACGGUUUGUAAUUUUAAACCAAAAGACAGUGAAAUACAACAUGGCUGGAUCUUAUGCCUCCCUGGUCAUGAACUCUGUAGCAAUGCUAAAAGCAAUGUGAUAUGAACAAGGCAUCUGAUGGAAGAACGUUUACAUAUCUUUAAAAUCAGCUACAGUGCAUUAUGGCAUAUAACAUGUGCAUUGGAACAGAUUGUCAACAUUUUAUGACUGUAAUUUCUGAUUAGGAGUUCCAUUUCAUCUCAAAUGUAUGAGAAAAUUUAGAUUAAAUUAGAUUUCAUAAUCAAAUGUUGACAAUUUGAUGGUCAAACACUUUAACAAAUUUUAACAAAUAUAUCUUAACAUUAUUAGUCUUAACAGUCUACUGAUGUUAACAGUCUUAACGUUCCCUUACAGAACAUGUAUCAUGAUUUCAGUUAUUCCAAAGGUAAAGUAACCAUAUCAAAGCUACAAAGUUAUUUCAGUGCUUAUGGUUCCAUUCCAACUUGCUCGCCCCCAAAUUGUGAUCAGUGCAGAAAUGUAUCAGUGUGGAUGCUACAGUGUGGGACAAUUUAUCUUGGACAAUAAAGCAACAAAAAACAUCUGAAACCAAACAAAAACACCAUACAUAUAUAUAUAUUUAUACGUCCCUGUCCAGCAUAUAAACUUGGGAAUUCAGGGCUGUCAUUCUCGUGCCAAAGGUAAUAUAAAAUUAUUGAACAUCAUGCUGCCAAAGAGAGAAUGCAUGCGUCAACAUUCAUUUUGCGAUUUAAUACCAUGGCUAGCUAGGACACGGAGAAGACUGGAACGUGUUUCAAAAGGGAAGGGGGGGGCGGGGGGCAAUGCAGCGGUGAGACCUGGUGGUGGUUGUGCUGUUGCAGAUAGUGAUGAGAGGUGGAUGGAUCUGAUCAUACCGCAGAUGUUUUCGGUUGAACUGGGAAUGUUCACAAAGCCUUAAUAUCCAUCAUUAAAUUGCCAUUACAGGAUUAUUACUUAGCAUGACAAGAUCGAUUAAAUUCAUGUGUAUGGACUCAUUAGG
Long non-coding RNA from Clupea harengus (Atlantic herring), 5909 nucleotides. Lineage: Eukaryota; Metazoa; Chordata; Actinopteri; Clupeiformes; Clupeidae. The record is from Ensembl.